This 433-nucleotide ribosomal RNA is filed under the name uncultured bacterium. Its description in RNAcentral is "partial 16S ribosomal RNA". It matches the Rfam family "Bacterial small subunit ribosomal RNA", at positions 29 to 507 of the family's 1533-position model. The record is from RNAcentral.
AACGAACGCUGGCGGCAUGCCUAACACAUGCAAGUCGAACGAGACCUUCGGGUCUAGUGGCGCACGGGUGCGUAACGCGUGGGAAUCUGCCCUUGGGUUCGGAAUAACAGUUGGAAACGACUGCUAAUACCGGAUGAUGACGUAAGUCCAAAGAUUUAUCGCCCAAGGAUGAGCCCGCGUAGGAUUAGCUAGUUGGUGAGGUAAAGGCUCACCAAGGCGACGAUCCUUAGCUGGUCUGAGAGGAUGAUCAGCCACACUGGGACUGAGACACGGCCCAGACUCCUACGGGAGGCAGCAGUGGGGAAUAGUGGAAAAUGGGCGAAAGCCUGAUCAAGCAAGGCCGCGUGAGUGAUGAAGGCCUUAGGGUUGUAAAGCUCUUUUACCCGGGAUGAUAAUGACAGUACCGGGAGAAUAAGCACCGGCUAACUCCGUG